AUCUCGCGAGAGCGCCACGGCCAGGUGCUGGCCAUCGGGCGACCACGACGGCGCGCUGUUGUUGCCCUUCUGGUUCGACACCAGCGUGCGCUU
This 93-nucleotide transfer RNA is filed under the name Cupriavidus laharis. RNAcentral describes it as "tRNA-Pro". Lineage: Bacteria; Pseudomonadati; Pseudomonadota; Betaproteobacteria; Burkholderiales; Burkholderiaceae. The record is from RNAcentral.